Rattus norvegicus (Norway rat) is the source of this 411-nucleotide long non-coding RNA. Ensembl lists it as uncharacterized. Lineage: Eukaryota; Metazoa; Chordata; Mammalia; Rodentia; Muridae. The record is from Ensembl.
CAGCACUCUUAGAGGUGGAGUUGAAAGUAGUCGUUAUGGCAGGCAGUUCUUCUACAGGUGUGUUCCAGGGAUCGAACUCAGUUGUGAAGUCUCUGCAGGUUUAGAAGAUAAGUAACCAGAUAUUUGGAUGAAGACUGAAGGUAUGCUCCUAAAUGCCUAUGCUGAAAGUGAAGCCAUGAUGUGUUCAUAUAUGGAGAAGUCAUGAUGCGAGCAUACAUGGAGAAGCCAUGAUGUGAGCAUAUGUGGAGAAGCCAUGAUGUGAAGACCCAAACAACCGCUAUCUACCAUCACAUUUCUUCAGUGUGGUAAGUUGCCAGGGCCUGCAAGGAUUAUUUUAAAACUGUUUGCUGCCCGCCACUGUGCUACCAAAAAUAAACUGGUCUGAGAGAACUAUGUGAGAGGACAUUCCUG